This is a long non-coding RNA of Ailuropoda melanoleuca (giant panda), 1388 nucleotides long. RefSeq lists it as uncharacterized. NCBI's taxonomy places the organism in Eukaryota, Metazoa, Chordata, Mammalia, Carnivora, Ursidae. The transcript has 3 exons. The record is from RefSeq and is a predicted model, not a curated record.
UUUUAAAGCUUUUAUUUUUAAAUAAUCUCUACGCCCAACAUGGGGCUCAAACUCAACCCUGAGAUCAAGAGUCCCGUGCUCCACUGACUGGGCCAGCCAGGUGUCCCACCAUCAAAAUUUUGAAUGCUCAUUUUCAGACCAAACAAUUCCACUUCCAGGAAUUUAUCCUAAAGAUUACCAGCAUGAAUUUGCAAAGACAUGAGUAGGAUGUACAUUCACAUUGGUUGUCAGAUAAAAAAUUUAAAUGUCCUUCAGUGGAGGACAUAAAAUUUUUUUGGUAUAAAAUACACAAAUAUUUAAAAGCAUGAACUAGAUCUCCACUUGCUGUUACGGAAAGAGCUCCAAGAUACAUUAAGAACAUUAAUUUUUUUUUUUAAAGAUUUUGUGUAUUUAUUAGAGAGAGUGAGAGAGCCCAAGUAGGGGAAGCAGCAGGCAGGAGAGGGAGAGGAAGAAGCAGGCUUCCCGAUGAGCAGGAAGCCCGACUCCAGGCUCCAUCCUAGGACUCUGGGAUCAUGACCUGAGCCUAAGGCAGAUGCCAACCAACUGAGGUACCCAGGUGCCCCCAUUAAGAACAUUAAGAUGCAAUAAUAUGUAUCUGUAUCUAUGUAUAUGUUUACCUAUGUGUUACCUCUGGGUAGUUCAGCUAAAGCGAGGAUAAAGAAAAGGAUUUUACACCUCUAUCAUUUGAACAUUUGAGUUUUUACAGCAAGAAUAUUUUGCUUUUAUAAUUUUUAAACACAUUGUUUAAAUGAAGAAUAUGUAGCAAACCAAAAUAUAUAAGUUGAUGAAAACUAAAAAUAGCAAGAUACAAAAUUGUGUGCAUGUGACACGUGGUAGGCAGCUUCUAAGAUGGCCCAUAUGAUCCUUGCCUGCUGGGAUUCACGCCCUUAUGUAAUCCUUUCUCUUUGAGUGUGGGCUGGACUUACUGAUUCACUUGUAAUCACUAGGGAUGUCCCUGCUUGGUUUUUAAGACUGGCUUCCAUCUUGGGCCCCGCUCUGAUUCUCUCCCUCUCAGAUCACCACCUGCCAUGUUGUGAGGACACAUCAGCCUCUGAAAAGGACCAUGUGGUACGGAAGAAGACUAGCUUCCAGAACCACAGUCCACUACCUGGGGAAUCCAAUCCGUGAUAGCCAUCCGGAAUAUCUAUGUAUCCUGGAGAGCUGCUCCAAGUAUCACUGUCUCAGCCAGCAAGACGUGCGUGAGAGAGAGGAAGCAGAGGACAAGCUCUAAACAUUUUAUUGACAUGACUUGGCAACUGCAUCAUUUCUACUCAAAUAUCAUAGAGAGAGACGGAGAGCACAAGCAGGGGGAGCGGCAGGCAGAGGGAGCCCCGCUGAGCAAGGAGCCCCGUUGUGGAUGCGGGUCCCCUAAGGGCCUUUUCCACCUG